AACGAACGCUGGCGGCGUGCCUAACACAUGCAAGUCGAACGGGAUUGAGGGGCUUGCUCCUCGAUUUAGUGGCGCACGGGUGAGUAACGCGUGGAUAAUCUACCUGUAGAUCUGGGAUAACAUUCCGAAAGGGGUGCUAAUACCGGAUAAGCCCACGGGGUCUUCGGACCCUGCGGGAAAAGGGGGGCCGUUCGGCCUUCCGUCAACAGAUGAGUCCGCGUACCAUUAGCUAGUUGGUGGGGUAAAGGCCUACCAAGGCGACGAUGGUUAGCUGGUCUGAGAGGAUGAUCAGCCACACUGGAACUGAGACACGGUCCAGACUCCUACGGGUGGCUG
RNAcentral lists this ribosomal RNA (336 nucleotides) under uncultured Pseudomonadota bacterium. Its description in RNAcentral is "bacterial SSU rRNA". It matches the Rfam family "Bacterial small subunit ribosomal RNA", at positions 29 to 351 of the family's 1533-position model. The record is from RNAcentral. Lineage: Bacteria; Pseudomonadati; Pseudomonadota.